RNAcentral lists this transfer RNA (73 nucleotides) under Actinomycetota bacterium. Its description in RNAcentral is "Actinobacteria bacterium tRNA-Arg". It matches the Rfam family "tRNA". Rfam says of the family: Transfer RNA (tRNA) molecules are approximately 80 nucleotides in length. The record is from RNAcentral. Lineage: Bacteria; Bacillati; Actinomycetota.
GGGCACGUAGCAUAAUGGAUAAUGCCCCCGCCUUCUAAGCGGUAGAUUGCUGGUUCGACCCCAGCCGUGCCUG